GGGUGCGAUCAUACCAGCACUAAUGCACCGGAUCCCAUCAGAACUCCGCAGUUAAGCGUGCUUGGUCGAGAGUAGUACUAGGAUGGGUGACGUCCUGGGAAGUCCUCGUGUUGCACCCC
This 119-nucleotide ribosomal RNA is filed under the name Theobroma cacao (cacao). The record is from RNAcentral. Lineage: Eukaryota; Viridiplantae; Streptophyta; Magnoliopsida; Malvales; Malvaceae.